RNAcentral lists this unclassified non-coding RNA (213 nucleotides) under soil metagenome. RNAcentral describes it as "partial contains 5.8S ribosomal RNA, internal transcribed spacer 2, and large subunit ribosomal RNA". The record is from RNAcentral.
AACGAGGCCGACCUGCGGCUGAGUUACCUGCGGAAGGAUCAUUACCGAGUUAUACAACUCAUCAACCCCUGUGAACUUACCUACAACGUUGCUUCGGCGGGAACAGACGGCCCCGUAAAACGGGCCGCCCCCGCCAGAGGACCCCUAACUCUGUUUUUAUAAUGUUUUUCUGAGUAAACAAGCAAAUAAAUUAAAACUUUCAACAAUGGAUCU